Molecule: long non-coding RNA, 282 nt
Filed under: Struthio camelus australis
Lineage: Eukaryota; Metazoa; Chordata; Aves; Struthioniformes; Struthionidae
Description: lncRNA (ENSSCUG00000003036.1)
Source: RNAcentral
UCACUCUACUGCGUUUAUUUUGCAACACAUACAAAAACUGCCGUGUGCUGUAUCACUGAAUUGUCCAUAAAACCUGCCGUUUAAAUUCUAUGGCAUUAUAUCCAGAACGGUGCACAGCAGAGGAAUACCUCCAGCGUAUGACGAGGGAAUGACCACCACCACGCAAGGAUGCAUAAGUACAUGAAUUUAGGUGACUUUCUUCUCAGUCUUGUUGGCUCCUUCAUUAUUUGUGAGCCCUUUCUGCAGCAGAACUUGGGAUAUAUCAUUACUUGAGGAAAUGUA